UGGGGCUUUUCGCCUUUUUUCACUACCAGUGAUUCUGUCGGUCCACCUCCGGAAUACCCAGAUCUGACUUUGGGAUUCUACGACCACACAUCACGUGAAAAAAGUUUUCUCUACAAGUGCAAAAAGGCAGAAUUUCCCAACAGUGCAAGGAAUCUUUUCUGGGAAAGGUCUAAACAGGCAUCGCGAAAACGACCUCCGGCGGCACGAUUUUCUGCUGAAAAAUUGCAAAAAAUUUACGAUAUUUUUUGCUAAUUCCAAACUUUGGGGACUAGUAGUACUGCUCAAGGGGGUCACAAAACUACAAAGAAAUAUUAUACGAAAUUUUUUCUGUUUUGUGACACCCGGGGGGGCAGGUACCUACCCAUAGCUUCCGACAUUUCGGAAGAACUUCCAAUCGUAGUCUGUUGCUUCGACCCGAUAGAAGCAACCAUCCCAUUUAUGGCUCCUUUUACUAAGGAUCAUAAAAAGAAAGCUCUU
RNAcentral lists this long non-coding RNA (477 nucleotides) under Zostera marina. RNAcentral describes it as "long non-coding RNA (ZMAR_LNC004678)". The record is from RNAcentral. Lineage: Eukaryota; Viridiplantae; Streptophyta; Magnoliopsida; Alismatales; Zosteraceae.